AGUCUAGUACUCAGAUCAGAUAAGAGCUCUAUCAAUGAGGAUAUGUGUGGUAUGAUUGAAAAGUCUGAGGAAGGAUUAGAAAAAAAACUCGAUGGAGGCUGGCGAUACUCCUGCUACUGCUGCACCUACUGAAAAAUCUGCUCCUGAUACUACUAAAACUGGUGGAGCUACUGAAGAACCUGAUCUUGAAACUGUUGCUGCGGAAUAGAUAGAAUGCCUGCCACUCUCUCAGCUAACAGUCCCAUGUCAUCCUCCCUCAAACUAAAAGAUGGCACGGUACGGCUUGACGAUAGGGGUAUAUUGACUGAGGAUCCUGCCUUAAGCUUCGAUACAGAGUGAUCAACUAGACUCUGCCUGGGCAUAAGUGGUGAAGGUGGACCCUCUCCCUCAGCAUGCUCCUCCUCAUCAUCCUCCUCCUCGACUUCAGCUGCAUGGCCCUUGACCCAAUGUCCAUCUACUCUGACAAACCUCGUGCACCGAAGGGAGUGGUCAUUGUAGGUGUCGGUGUUUGAUAGUCUACAAAUAAUUUCUCCCUCAAAGCUCACUCC
RNAcentral lists this long non-coding RNA (548 nucleotides) under Elaeis guineensis (African oil palm). RNAcentral's name for it is "long non-coding RNA (EGUI_LNC044441)". The record is from RNAcentral. Lineage: Eukaryota; Viridiplantae; Streptophyta; Magnoliopsida; Arecales; Arecaceae.